GCGAGCGUGGUGGAACUGGUAGACACGCCAGAUUUAGGUUCUGGUGCCGAAAGGUGUGGGGGUUCAAGUCCCUUCGCUCGCA
This 82-nucleotide transfer RNA is filed under the name bacterium. Its description in RNAcentral is "tRNA-Leu". It matches the Rfam family "tRNA". From Rfam's summary of the family: Transfer RNA (tRNA) molecules are approximately 80 nucleotides in length. Their secondary structure includes four short double-helical elements and three loops (D, anti-codon, and T loops). Further hydrogen bonds mediate the characteristic L-shaped molecular structure. tRNAs have two regions of fundamental functional importance: the anti-codon, which is responsible for specific mRNA codon recognition, and the 3' end, to which the tRNAs corresponding amino acid is attached (by aminoacyl-tRNA synthetases). tRNAs cope with the degeneracy of the genetic code in two manners: having more than one tRNA (with a specific anti-codon) for a particular amino acid; and 'wobble' base-pairing, i.e. permitting non-standard base-pairing at the 3rd anti-codon position. RNAcentral also lists the same sequence under 3 other names. The record is from RNAcentral.